Molecule: long non-coding RNA, 393 nt
Filed under: Elaeis guineensis (African oil palm)
Lineage: Eukaryota; Viridiplantae; Streptophyta; Magnoliopsida; Arecales; Arecaceae
Description: long non-coding RNA (EGUI_LNC019471)
Source: RNAcentral
AACCUUGAAUCCGGUGACCAAGAUCUCCAUCUCCACCGUCUCUCCCUACGCCAGCGGGCUUGGAUACGGGAGGCGAAGGCGUGGCCUUCUCCGUGGUUCGAUCUCUGAUCAAUGAUCACAAGAAACAGGUACCUUUUAUUGCAUCUCUCCUUCGUCUGCCAAUUUUAAUCAAUGAUCACAAGAAACAGGGUUUGCAGUUGAUUUCUCAAAGCUUGGAUUCUUGGUAUCAGUUUCUUGAACAAUAUGCAAAGGCGUCUGCUCGACUCCCAGGUUCAAUGAUCUCGGGAAGUAGGUAUUGUUUGUUAUCAGUUUCUUGGAAUUGUGGUGCUUGAUGUCAUUUUCUUUAAAGAUACGUAAUGAUGGCAUGUGCUUAGUCUUUGAUGAUUACACGGG